This 19221-nucleotide long non-coding RNA is filed under the name Gossypium raimondii (Peruvian cotton). RNAcentral's name for it is "long non-coding RNA (GRAI_LNC007939)". The stretch from base 16777 to 16909 matches the Rfam family "MIR7502 microRNA precursor family". The record is from RNAcentral. Lineage: Eukaryota; Viridiplantae; Streptophyta; Magnoliopsida; Malvales; Malvaceae.
UAAGAGCAAAUGAAACUUACUUCUCUGUGAUGAAUGAGAAACUGGAAUCAUUCUGAAGACCUGCAACAUGUAGGCUGAGGAGAGAUCCACUGCUUCUUGUGACUAGCAGUCGAAGCAUCCGAUCGAGAUGGUGGGGCUGGCAGCGACAGGUCCAUUCAUCAAGAUCUAUAUCUUGCCAACAAUAGGGACCCGUGAUUGCCUUACACCAGGAUUUGCAGACACAGGGAAUGACCACCAGUAACUCUUGUAGCGACAGGUUGGUGAAGAUCAACCCCAAUACAUCAGGAGGUAGUUGAUCCCAGUGUCGAAACUCGCUUUGCUCUUCUUCCAUCUGAUCUUCAUUCAAGUCAUGAAGGUCAUAAUCAAAUCACAACAGGAAAUAAUAAAAAAAAUCAAAGAUUAGGUGUUACCUUGUAUCACUUUCCUUGCCACUAUGCAAAACCUAAACACAAAAUCAAAGGCAACAAAAAAAGAAAAGAGAAAAGUAGGCAUAGAAUAAGACAACUGAAGUAUCUAUAUAUAUACACGUAAAAACAUGGUGUUUAGUUGGAAAACGAAGACGAAUAGGCAUGAAAGGCCGCUACUUAAUGCGGUAAUUAGAUAUUUUGUGUGCGUUGAGUGUAUGAAAGGUUGGAGAUGAGUGAUUCCAAUGUCCAAAAUUAGUGUUUAGAAUAAAUUUUCAACAAUUUUUUCUUUCAUAUGAAGAGAUAUUUAAUAUGUUUUUCUUCCCAAAAAAACCAUACUUAAUCUUCAUUGCUUAAUUUAUUAAACCACAUUAUUAUUUUUCACAAUUCCAAUAUAAAUUAACAGUUUUUUUCUAUAUAAAUGAAAGUCUAUUUCCAAUAUCUCAGAUGAUUUAUAAAAUAAUAUGAUGACGAAUUUAAAACUAUUUUUUAUUCAAAAAUUCCGAAAAAGUUCUUUUUUAAACAAAUCUUAAUAAUUUAAAAUAAUACAUAUUAAAAAAUAUAAUUUUAAAAUUUCUCAUCGGGAAUAGUGCAAUAUUUUCAAUGAAAAUCAUUAAAAUCCAAUAAAUAUGACAUUUAAUCUUAGAUUAUUGUUAUUAUACAAAUACUUUAUUAAUAUUAAAAAAUAUUAUUUACAAAAAAUUAAAAUUCAAUGGUAAAUAAUAUUGAGAACACUUCCAAGGGUUGCUAAGUUGAAAAGCUCUAGCCUAGGCAUUGUAGCAGAUACUUUAUUAAUAGGGACCCGUGACUGCCUUACUCUAGGAUUUGCAGACCUAGGGAAUGACUGUCAGUAACUCUUGUAGCGACAGGUUGGUGAAGAUCAACCCAAUACAUCUGGAGGUAGUUGAUCCCUGUGUCGAAACUCGCUUUGCUCUUCUUCCAUCUAUCUUCAUUCAAGUCAUGAAGGUCAUAAUCAAGUCACAACAGAAAAAAAGGAAAAGUCAAAGAUUGAGGGUUACCUUAUAUCACUUUCCUUGCAACUUGGAUUAUUAUGCAAAACCUAAACACAAAAUCAAAGGCAACCAAAAAGAAAAAGGAAAGACGUAAUAUAGGAAGAGAAAGGUAGGAAUAGAAUAAAACAACGUAAGUAUCUAUUGUUGUAACCCAAUUUUGUUCGUAACCCAAACAAAGACAAAAUAAAUAAAACUCAAAUUACAAGCCCAAACCAAUACAAAAUCCCAAAGCCCAAUAGGCCACAACCUAAACUUUUUUUAAAAAAACUGAAAACCCUAGAUCCCCUAUGCGCUGCUGCUCUUGGCCACAUCAGUAGAUGCGACGCUUGAGGACUGCCUCCCCUAUCAUCAUUUCACCGAAAUGGCAAGGGUGCGACUCCCAUCGUCGUUGACCACCAUCGCGACUUGCAAAGAAGAAAGAAAAAGACAGAAGCAGAAAAAACAAAAACAAAUAUUUGUAAUCACUCGGCUAUAAAAGCCGAAUAAUCAAAUUGCAAUAGACACGAAGAAAAAGCAAAGAGAUAUAAAAAUUUCCAGUUCUAAAAAGGUCGUUGAAUCCUUGGGGAUUCGCUGAAAGGCAGCGUCGAAGGAGAGCCAGGAACCUAAAUGUCCCUUUUACUUUUUCGAAUUCUGGCUAGAUUUUAGGGAUUUCGGCCUUAGAUUCGAGUUCUUCACGAAACUGAGAUAAAAAAAGGGGUUUUUUUACAACUCUGGUCACCGAAGGUUACGCCUACCGUCGCUGAUGACCGAUGGCCAUGACGGAGUGCCAACGGCCUAGUGGGCGAAUUCAAGGGUGAUUUCAGAGAAAAAAAGAAAAGAAGGAAGCUUUUAAAAAAAAAUGUGUAGAAAUGUUUUUUAUUAUAUUUUUUACUUAAAUAGGGCACAUAAAUAAAGCCGUUUUGUCGUGGCCCUAAAUGCCCCAAAAUGAUGUCGUUUUGGGGUCAACCCGAUGACCCGACCCAGAUUCCCUUAAGAUCCACAUGUUUUUAAAGAGGAGGGUCUAAUUUAUUAAAGGAACCUUUUGUCCUUUUUUCUUCUGUAUUGUAAUCACAACAUGUGAAUAAAUAUAUAUUAGCACACAACACUAAAGAUAAAUCGAAUAAAAAUGGUGCCAAAACCUCUCAUUUAAAAAAAAAAUACAAUUUCACAAAAAAUUAAAGAAAUAAAUAAACUAGGGUCAGAUCGAAUCGAACUUAGGUAUACUACUAAUUUUCGAUUUUGGGUUUGGAGAGUGUUAAAUUUUUUUUUAAAGUCGGGGUUGGGUUGGGUCAAGGUAGGGCAUGGCAGUAGAGCAUCAUGUCGUUGUCAGGGCAAGUAAAAAAUUUCUCCACCCCGUUCCCAUCACUAGUUAAUCAAUGGGUUAUAAAGGGCUAAAAAUGAUUUUUUUAAAAAUAUUUUUAAAUUUUUUAGAGUUACAACUAAAUUGAAAAAUUUUGUAAAUGUUGAAAGUUAAAUUUAUUUAAUUUUUUAGAAUUAGAACUAAAAUGUCAAAUUUUGUAAGCAUUGAGGGCUAAAAAUUGUUGACUUUUUAUAUUUAGGAUCAAAUUUAUAGAAUGUGUAAUCAUUAGAGGGAUAAUUUUGUUAUUAGACCAAUAAGCAAAAGCCCCUGCCAACUAAAAAUGGCUAAAAUAUUUAAUUUCGAAAAAUUUAGUGAUUAAAUCAAAAAAAUUAAUAGUUGGGUGACCAAAUAGAACAAAAGCAAAGUUGAAUAGCCAUUUUCAUAGUUUACCCAUAAAAAAAAUAAUUUUCAGCAUCUUCCAUUGUAAAUAAAAAAUCAAACCGAUGGGCUAAUUUACACUUUUCAAAAUGUAUAAAGAUUAAUUUACUAAUUUUUUUUAGUAAAAAGACUGAAAUAUAAUCCGCCCCUAAGUACAAGAGUUUAUAAAACACAUUGAUCAAGUUGUAAAUUGGAAGAUAAUGCGCCACAUCUUCCCACAUUAACAUCAAUACCCAUACCAAUUAUUUAAAUUUUGCUUAACUUCAAUUAUCUAUUUGAGUUCCAAUGCUUCACAAUCCACCCGUAACUUCAGUUAUCAGAAAAUUAGUCUAUAUUAAGUAGAUAGUUAUCAGAAAAUAAAACAAAUAUUAAUUAUCAAACCAUUCAGCAUGAAGCAUUUCAAUGGAACAUGGAAGAUUAAAUGACAACAAAGAUUAAUAUCAUCUAUCAUAACAAAACACAUAAAAAGAUACAAGUUUGGUUUGAAUUGAAACCCUAACUUGGCAAAUUAUAAUAGAAAGAGCCCACCAGAGACUGCUUUGACUAUUGUUGUUCUUCUUCCUCGCGCUUCGCUGCUUCUUUAAUCUCAUCAUCAUCCUAAUUAAUGAAAGAAUAAUCAAUUAAAUUAUUUUAGAAGUAUCAAUUUUGUUUUGGGCCAGAAGUAUAGGUGGAAAUUUUAUUGACCUGCAUGUCGGAGGUCCACAGAGUGAGAUUGUCACGUAGCAGUUGCAUGAUGAGGGUGCUGUCUUUGUAUGAUUCCUCCCCUAGUGUAUCCAACUCAGCUAUUGCUUCAUCAAACGCCUGUUUUCCAAUCACAAUCCAACACGUCAGCUACUCGCCAUUUCUGAACUUAAAAAAAAAAAACGAGUAGGUAACCGACCUGUUUAGCCAGUUCGCAAGCGCGAUCAGGAGAAUUGAGAAUCUCGUAGUAGAAAACAGAGAAAUUGAGGGCUAGACCGAGUCGGAUCGGGUGAGUUGGAGCCAACUCGGCGUUGGCAAUCUCCUAAGAAACAGAGAAAGAAGGUUCAGCACGGACAUUUUCAUUAAAAAAAGUAGUUCUCUAAGAGAAUGGAGUCGGAAAGUGGAAACCUGAGCGGAUUUGUAGGCAGUGAGAGUACUCUCAGCAGCUUCCUUACGUUCGGCGCCAGUUUUGAAUUCAGCCAAAUACCUGUGAUAAUCUCCCUUCAUCUUAAGAUAAAAGACCUUUGAAUCUCCACCGGAAGGCGAAGGGAUGAGUGUGGUGUCAAGGAGUUUCAAGAUCCCGCCACAGAUCGAGGAGAGCUCGGACUCGAUCUUAGCCCGGUAAUCACGUAUAACGGCCACGUGAUCCUCGUUACCACGGCUCUCCUCUUUCUGCUCAAUGGAGGAGAUGAUGCGCCACGAAGCACGGCGUGCGCCGAUCACGUUCUUGUAAGCAACGGAGAGGAGGUUGCGUUCUUCGAUGGUGAGUCCCUCGUUGUCGGCGGCGGAAGCCGAGACUUUCUCCAUGAAGUCGACCAUUUCCUCGUAGCGUUCGGCUUGCUCAGCGAGUUUCGCCAUGUAGACAUUUUCUUCGCGAGUGGCGGCGGCCAUUGUGGAUUUUCGAAUCAAGUUAGAGGGAAGAGAAGGUUUUUUGAAAAUUUUAGAGGGUGAGAAAUGUGGCAGUGAUGGGGAAGAAGAAAUGUGGAGUGAUAGAUAUAGGAGGCAAAAAGGACAGGGAUUAAAAAGGUCAAGUUGCCAAACACGGACUUUUCAGUUUUCUGAGCUGUUUUGAGCAUAUCAACAGCUGCUCUCUGUUACUUUCUUCUUCUUUUUUGUGUUCAAAUAUCUCAUAAGUCCCUCUACUAUUUAUAAAUUUAAAUUUUAGUUAUUAUACUUUUAUUUCUAGGAUUUAAUCCCUCUACUUUUCAGAUUUAAAAUUCAGGUCCAACAGUUAAUAAUGGGAAAAUUAUUUUGUUAAAUUCAGUAUCAUUACAUCACCAUUUUUUCAUUACAUUGUUAACACGGGAAUUUUUUUUAUUCUUUCAAAACAUCACACAACCAAAUUUAACAAUAAAAAUUUAAAAGUAUUCGCAAUUAUCAAUUAGAAUUAAAUUUUUAAAAAUAAAAAUAUAGGGACUAAAUUUUGAAUUUAUAAAGAGUAUAAAGACGUAAAGUAUAUUUUUUUUGUGUUUUUGCUUUUUGACGGUGGAAAGAUGAGUUUGAAUUUUGAAACUAAUGGGUUUGUUCUAUGCAAUAAUUAUUACAACUGCACGGGAUAGAUUUACUGUUUGUUUAGUAAGUUCUUUUUAGAAGAAAAAAUAUGUUAAAUAAAUUAUUUUUUGUUUUUCAAAAGUAUUUUUGAAAUCAGAAAUUAGAGAUUUAACCGAUGGCAUGAUUGAAAAUGUCUAAAAUUGUUUCAAUUUGAUAAAAAAAAAACAGGAAAAUUUGGUUAAAAUUUGAAAAAAAAAAGAUUUUUUUAAUUCUAAUAAAAAGAUAAUGGCAGAAAUUAGCUUAUACUUUACCAAACCUUCCAAAUUUGUGGAAUGUGAUAGCUGAAAAAAGUUUAGGAUUUGAAUGGUAGGGAUGUAGAGGAGGUACACUGUCAUGAGCAUGUAGUGGUCCAAUGGUAGAUGGUGACGGAUGAUGUUUUUUUUUUUUUGAAACUUCGCUUAAAUUUCUGUGAAUUUCAUUUUUUUGUUGUUUUUGAGGAAAUUUAAAUUAAGAAAGAGAAAUGGUAAGAUAACUUGUUCGCUUGGCAGUUUAAUAGUAACAUAUAAAUGGUCAACUUUAGGUGUCUUCGUAAAUAUUAAUUUUAAUAAUAAAAUUUUUAUUUAUUUUUUUUACUUAACAGAUAUCUGAACUUAAAAUCCUUCACACUUUAAUAUUUGUUAACAUGCGAUAACGUGACAUUGACAAUCAAUAGUAUAACAUCCUAAAAUUAUGCUACAUGACAAACAUUAAUUAAUAAAAUAUAAAACUCUAAAAAAUAUUUAAACAAGUGGGUGUCUAAAAUAAUUAAAUGGAUGUAUUUUUAGUAAUUUUAUCCAUUUUACUUUUUUUUUUAAAAAAUUUGAUCUCACGGAAGUAAAUGCUUUUUACAUUUUAUAGUUGAUUUUUUGAGUUUUUUUUUUUUUAAAUUUACGAAGUGCUCUCAUCAAUUUAGCCACCAAUUUGAUUUUGACAAAUAUGGUUUUUAGGAACUUUUUCCUUUAGCUCGCCAGAUUUAGGGUUUUUUACAAAAAUAAUAUAAAAAAAUUAAAAAUUACUAAAAUGUUAUAAUUUUUUUUAUUUACCAAAAUAUAUAUAAAUUUUUUUAUUUACCAAAAUAUAUAAAAAAACAAAAAAACCAAAAAAAAAACCUGGACUGAUUUGACAACUCCCUGGGACAAGGGAACACUGUUGGCGGCACCAAACAAGGGAACCCUGUUGGCGGCACCAAACAAGGGAACCCUGUUGGCGGCACCAAACAAGGGUUCCCUGUUGGCGGCACCACUCGUGUUAUAAACACGAACUCUGUCCAGCUGAAACAAGAAAAAUCAGAAGAAAAAGAAAAGAAAGAAGAGGUGCUGCGGAAAAAAAGAGAGAAAGAGAAGAGAGAAAGAAGUUAUUUUUUAAAAAAUAAUUGAUUAUUUUGUUGUUAUUGUUUUGUAUAAUUUGUAUUUUUUUUAGUUUAGUUAUUAAAAUUAAAAUCAAUAAAACUCAAAUUAAUAGUUUUAGUUAGGGUUUUAUUAUCAAAAUAUUACAAAAAAAUACAAACGUGUUAAUGUACAAACAUGUGCCAUGGGAUCUGCAUCAUGCUGGGCCAUGGUUAUUGUUCAAUUUCUUUUUACCAAUAUAAUUAUUUUAAAGUUGCAUNNNNNNNNNNNNNNNNNNNNNNNNNNNNNNNNNNNNNNNNNNNNNNNNNNNNNNNNNNNNNNNNNNNNNNNNNNNNNNNNNNNNNNNNNNNNNNNNNNNNGCCUCCAUUUUCGAUAUAAUAUUAAUAAUUCCAAACGCCAUAUACUAUUUUAUAACUUAAUUUGGAUACAAUGUAAUCAUAACCAUUUGUAUAGUUUUUAUCAUUACACAUAAAAAUUUUACAAUAUUAGGUCAAUUACGACCCGAUCCGGACGACUGUCCAACAUGAAAGUUUCGGUUAGGGCAUUUAUUCCGACUAUGACCACUUAACCUGCAUAAUCCACAACGCUUUCCGUCAGACUUCUCCCUGAUGUCUAUUUCAUUACGGAUUCUGCUUGACUGCGGACGACCUCUCAGAUUCCUCCGCAGCCCUCUGUCUGGGAGAAGCUCGAAAGUAGUCAAAGGCACCUCCCACGUUGAUAGGUCAGGCAAGACGGGGAACUCAUUUUCCCAGACACGCAAUGUGCGCUCCAGCGUGUACACAUCAUCGACAUAUUGUUCAACAUUGACGUUAACUUUAGCACACGCUGCCACGGCAUGCGCACAGGGAUAAUGAAGUGUUUCGAACCUUCUGCACUCGCACCGUCGGUUUCGGAGAUCAACUUCGUAAGACCUAGUUGGUAUACCAGGUCGACGACUGAUGCUCUCAGUAACUUGAAAUGUUUCCAGUCGUCGUGAAUAUAUUUCUACAUUCAUUGACCUUGCCAACCGACGGUUUACGACCAUUGUAUCCCUGACAUGUUCGACAAACACGUAUCCCGCCUCAAUCUGGUCGACUUGCUGCUGAGCCAUUCUUGGUAUCAAAGUAGCUAGCCUGUAGAAAGUAGCAGAAAAUACAGAUGCAAUCGGAAGAUGACGUGUUUUUAACAAAACAGCGUUGAUCCCCUCGACUAAGUUUGUGGUCAUUUGGCCAUAACGAAAGCCCUCGUCAAAACUUUGAGCCCAUUGCCACGGCUCCAUUGUGCCCAACCAUUGUCGGAAAGAUGUGUUUGUCUGCCCCUCCAUGUCACUCUCAAGUCGAAUCAUUUUUUGCCGGAACAUAUGUGGCUCUAACUCGUACGCUGCAUACGUAUUAAGAAAAAUAAGUUCUAGUAACUCCAUAACAUGAAACAUUACAACUUAUAUUGAAAAUAUAAGGUUAUCAUUUACGCAUUGCCACGACUUGUCUCUUCCAGUCUGCAUUCUUGUAAUCUUUGUGGAAGUUAGCCGCAAUGUGACGGAUGCAGUAAACGGAUCUCCACGGCACACCGGAACGCCUGAUUGCUGCAAUUAAACCCUUCCCUCUAUCGGAGAUGAUGCAAAUGUUAUCGUUGUUAAUAACAUACCUCCGUAGGUUUGUGAGGAAGAAUUCCCAAGACUCCAUGUUCUCUUUAUCUACGAUAGCAAAUGCUAUCGGGAGCACGUUUCUGUUGCCGUCUUGAGCAACUGCAAGAAGUAGGAUCUGUGUAUAUUUUCCAUACAGCCAAGUCCCAUCUACCUGCACAAGUGGCUUGCAGUGGGGAAAUGCCCGCACACAUGGAUUGAACGUCCAGAACAUCCGAUGGAAAAUCCUUUUUGCCGGCUGUAACUGGUCAUCCGGGCCGUAAUAUGGUCUUGUCUGCAACUCAAUCACAGUCCCCGGUACAUACUCCCGCAUAGCAGCUAUCCAACCUUGAAGCUCGUUAUACGAUGAAUCGUAAUCUCCAUACAGUUGCUUCAUCACCAUCUGUUUAGCAAUCCAUGCCUUUCGAUAUGAGACUCGAUACUGGAAUCGUGCUUGCAUUUCGAUAAUCAGUACCGAAACUUUAAUGGUCGGCAUGUCCUUCACCAUUGGCAUAAUACACGUACAGAUUGUUUUUGAAUCAAGUUUUCUAUGAUCUUCUGUCAUACGUGUUGAUGUGCAUGUAUGAGGACCAACAAAUUUUCGUAUCUCCCACAUCUGAGAACUUUUAAUGAAUGCAGCUCGCACCCGCCAAUUGCAGUCUUCCGCUGCCUUUCAACACUCCCCAACAUAUAUUGUCGGAGUAGACACUGUGACUUUAUAAUCAACUGAUAUAUUCAUGAUGUAUCGUUUGAUGGCAUAUACGCACUCUUCUUUACAGCUGAAUCUCUGGCCUAUGAAUAACUCCUCAUCAUCAGAUGUUACGGCCAGCCCGUGACGAUGAACUAUUUCAGGGUACUCUGGGAACUCAACUACAUACGCUGCGUCGGGGUCUAUGAGCGACAUGUGUGGCCCAGGAUUAUUGUGUAUCAAAAUAUGCCGCAUCUGCUCCCCGAUCAAAGAAGCGUUAAUGUCUUCAUCGUCAAUAUCAUCAAGUACAUCGUCCACAUCGGGAUCACCGUCACUAUCGACCUCUUCAUCCCAACGAUCACCACCACCUUCUUCUUCGCAACCACAUUCUUCUUCACCACCAACCAUAUCAACAUCGGAUGUAAUAUUCACGUCGAUACCGAUCCCACCUAUAGUUGAUUCACUAUCAACGUAUGAUAUUGGAGCCACCAUCCGCGGUUCUUCAGCCCCGUCUUCUUCAUCAGAUGCAUUUUGCUCCAUACCGACUAACUCAGUAAAUAAGUGAAUCGGUGCAUUCUUGUCACUCCCGUUCCCACAGUAGAGAUCGACCAUUGUCUCAACGUCUUCGUCAUCUGCAAGUUCCAUUUCGACGAAUUUGACUGGAUUUGUCGAAACUGGAAACUUGUAGAAAAUUUUUACUAUCCUUCUCCCACAACGUCUUAAAAUUUUUGCAUUAAUCCUUGNNNNNNNNNNNNNNNNNNNNNNNNNNNNNNNNNNNNNNNNNNNNNNNNNNNNNNNNNNNNNNNNNNNNNNNNNNNNNNNNNNNNNNNNNNNNNNNNNNNNNNNNNNNNNNNNNNNNNNNNNNNNNNNNNNNNNNNNNNNNNNNNNNNNNNNNNNNNNNNNNNNNNNNNNNNNNNNNNNNNNNNNNNNNNNNNNNNNNNNNNNNNNNNNNNNNNNNNNNNNNNNNNNNNNNNNNNNNNNNNNNNNNNNNNNNNNNNNNNNNNNNNNNNNNNNNNNNNNNNNNNNNNNNNNNNNNNNNNNNNNNNNNNNNNNNNNNNNNNNNNNNNNNNNNNNNNNNNNNNNNNNNNNNNNNNNNNNNNNNNNNNNNNNNNNNNNNNNNNNNNNNNNNNNNNNNNNNNNNNNNNNNNNNNNNNNNNNNNNNNNNNNNNNNNNNNNNNNNNNNNNNNNNNNNNNNNNNNNNNNNNAUAAAUUUUUAUUUUUUUGUAAUAUUUUGAUAAUAAAACCCUAACUAAAACUAUUAAUUUGAGUUUUAUUGAUUUUAAUCUUAAUAACUAAACUAAAACAAAAAAAAAUACAAAUUAUACAAAAUAAUAACAAUAACAUAAUCAAUUAUUUUUAAAAAAAUACCUGAUUUUUCUCUUCUUUUUCUCUCUUUUUCUCUUUUUUUCCGAACCACCUCUUCUUUCUUUUCUUUUUCUUCUGAUUUUUCUUGUUUCGGCUGGACAGAGUUCGUGUUUAUAACACGAGUGGUGCCGCCAACAGGGAACCCUUGUUUGGUGCCGCCAACAGUGUUCCCUUGUCCCAGGGAGUUGCCAAAUCAGUCCAUUUUUUUUCUGUUUUUUUUGGUUUUUUUGUUUUUUUUGAUAUAUUUUGGUAAAUAAAAAAAUUAUAUAUAUUUUGGUAAAUAAAAAAAUUAUAACAUUUUGGUAUUUUUUAAAUUUUUUUAUAUUAUUUUUGUAAAAAACCCCAGACUUAUUUUGGAUGAGCGUCCAUGGCAUCAAUUACUUUAAGUUAGAAUUAUUUCUAUUGCCACAACGGUAACUAUAUGCAUAAAGACUCAUGCAUCACAGUUUUAUUUCUUUAACAGUUGAGAGUGUCGUAUGAUUGUAAUGAUCGUGAAAACAUCUUGGAGUCUCUUUUGUCACCUACUUAUUAACAAAUAAGCUGACUUGGUUUUGAAUUGGGUCAAAUUUACCAAUUUAAAAUUUCGAAUUCAGUCAUCAAAGAUUAAAAGCAUGAUUCAAAGCAUUACAAGUUAUUUGUUUGAAUUAUUUCAUAUUUGAGUGAUUUUUAAGUACAUAUAAUUCAAAUAAAGCAAAUUCAAAUAGUUAGGCAGUAUUUAGAAAAGUCAUGCAAUAAUUAAAUUUGGGUGUAAUUGUUUGUAAUUACACAAAUGUAGUAUGUGAAGGUAAUCAUUGUCAUUGCAAGGUCCCAUCGAACUAGAUGCAGUGGAGCAUCCAAUUACAUUUUUCAAUUCUUAAGAGUGAGAAUUAGAAUAAUUACACAGGUAAGUACACCCAAAUUUAAUUUUAAAAAAAUAUUAUUAUACAAGUUAUAAAAAUUACAUUAUACUCAUGGACAUGUAUGAGUGUUUGGGAUAAUUAUGGUAAAAAAAAUUCUUAUAUUAUAUAUCCUAGAAAAUCAAUUAUAACAAUAAUUUGUGUGUUUUACAAAGUUAUAACAAAAAAAUUAUUAGAUCUUGAUAAAUUUUUAAAGUUAUAGCAAAAAAGUUUAUUGUAAAAAAUAAUUUACACAACCAAGAAAUAUGAAUAUAACUUAUUUAUGUAUCCAUGCUAUUUAUUCAUAAAAAUAAUAUGCUUAUAAUUUUUUUUAUCUUAACUUAUUUAUAAAAAAAUAGUUUUCUAAAUUUACCGUAAAAAAUAUUAUUUAUAAGAAAUGUUAUGAAAGUUUUGGACAAUUUAUAAUUAUUUUGUAAAGAUUAUAUAUUAUUUUUACUUAAUAUAUGUAAUGUUAAAAGGGACAUGACCUAGUAUAAGUUUGUCACCAAAUUAAGUUUAUGUAAGUUAUCAUAAUUAAAGCUGCAUAUUAUUUAAACUAUGAAUUCAAAUAUUAUAAGGUCAAUACGAAUUAUGCAAAUAGAAAAUAUUUUCUUGCACCAUAUUGUAAGGUAUAAUAUCAUUUGAGAAAAUGGGGUCAGGCACAAUUACCAUAAGCAACUCAGGAAAACUCUUUAGUUUGAGACAUUCAAAAUUUUAAAAUGUGGUUGAGAAGAUAUUUAUUGUUUUAAAAAAAAUAGUUUUCGUAUUAACAAAAUCACCUUAGUAUAGCAUAAAAAAAUGUUGAAUCGUACUAGCAUAUCACAUGUUUCACAAUUUUAUCAUAUAUGGAAUUAAAAUAAUUCAUACUUUGAAGAGUACAUGGAAGAAAAAGAUAUUAAUAAUCUUAACGAUACAGAUGCAGAUGCAAAUUCAGAUGAUGAGGAGUUCGACCAAGGACCAACAAAUGAUGAUAAGGAGCAUAUGUUAAAUAUUAAAAAGAGAAUAAUCCAACAAAUACGCAUUAAAACAAUUAGAUAAAAUUGCAAAUGAUUUUUAUUUUUCUUGUUAUUUUUAUCCGUAAUUGUAUUAUCAAUUACCUUUUUAAACCAAUAUAAUUGCAUAUGAUGAUUUAAUUUUAAUUUUUAUUACUUAUUUAAAAAUUAUUUUUAUCAUACUAAUAAUUUUUAUAAUUUAAAAUAUAAAAUUUGUAACUCUAUAAUUACAAUUCUCAAAGGUCAAAACUCAGCCUACUAUUCUUGUCCACGUGUAUGGUAAUGAUAGAAAGGAAAGAAUCAUUCCAAUGAUCCAGUGGAACACAUUAAAAUUGCUCUACCGUGGGGUUUAAAUUAGAAAGAGGGAACUCGUUUUUGAAAACCCUAAGCAGAAGGAAGAAAUCGAAGUGAUUUGAGCCACCGCCUCUGCUCCGCCGCCAGCCAUGAAGGUUCUAUCUCUCAACCAUGAAUGUAUCUUGCUUACACAAAAAAAAAAAAAAGCUUUUCGAAGUUUAAAAUUUAACCGUGCACCCUUUCUUUUUAUUGUUGUUUUUUCCUCUUUGCAGUUCAAUAUCGCCAACCCCACUACGGGAUGCCAGAAGAAGCUAGAAAUCGACGAUGACCAGAAACUGUAAGUUUCCUUGCUUAUCUCUUUAUAUAUUAUAUGCUUAUCUUUCAAUUUUCUUUAGCUUUAUUUUGGAACUUGAAGUUGGCAUGCUUUAAGUGAAGGUAGGUGUUGAACCAAUAAAGAUAAUGAAGACCUUUUGUAACAUGUUGAUAUGGUUUAUAUUGCUUAAAUUUUUUUUUGCAUAGGCAUUUCUUUCCUGGAUAAUUGAAAUGUUUUAUUCCAAAAUAAUCAGCAUUUGUAGCCAAUUUUUUAGCAUACUAGUGUCUUAGGUUAUUUCCGUAACUGACACAAAGAACCUUUUUUUUUUUUUGUUUUUCCCAUUUGAUUUAAUUACUAUAUGAGGAGAACUAGCUUGAACAGCAGAACCAGUUCGCCUAAAAAGCUCAUUUGGGUUUCUUUAUGCUUUCUAAAGUUCAAUAGGUGGCGUAGCUAACAGUUGUAACUCGUGAUUUGUUAAUUACAAUGUUUGAGUUUGAGCUGGGCAAUGACAUUUUGAAUUUAAUUUAUUAUGAACUUGUAAUUUGUGUUUAAUGUGGUGUAAUGGAUAAUGAUAUGGUGUGACUAAGACCAUUGCAGGUUAUGGGGGAAGCAGUUGGUCUUGUUUAAAGUACUUAUGCCUCGUUUGGUUACUAGUGUAAUUUGUGUUUAAAGUACUUAUAACUCAUUGGGUUACUUAUGCCUCGUUUGUUCACCAUGGAUUUCUUGUUUUUAUACUGUACAGCCGAGCAUUUUUUGACAAGAGAAUCUCACAAGAGGUCAUCGGAGAUGCUCUUGGAGAGGUAUGCUUUUUCCAAAAUUGGAUCCAAUGGAGUCUUAUUGUUUGUUCUUAGUUUCAUAAAAGACGUUUUACUUUUUUGGCAGGAAUUCAAGGGCUAUGUUUUCAAAAUCAAGGGAGGAUGUGACAAGCAGGGAUUCCCAAUGAAGCAAGGAGUGUUAACUCCUGGUCGUGUCCGUCUCUUGCUCCACAGAGGUUGGCCCUUACUGUUUAAUGCCAUCUGAAGGAUUGAACUUGUCUGAUGGUAGCAAUUUUACUGGCAUUUAUGUUAUGGUCUGUAAGUCAUAGUUUUUUCUCUCCAGGGACCCCUUGCUUCCGAGGAUAUGGUAGGCGCAACGGAGAGAGGAGGAGGAAGUCUGUUCGAGGAUGCAUUGUGAGUCAAGAUCUCUCUGUUCUCAACUUGGUAAUUGUGAAAAAGGGGGACAAUGAUCUUCCUGGGCUCACUGAUACUGAGAAACCAAGAAUGAGGGGUCCCAAGAGGGCAUCAAAGAUUCGUAAGCUCUUCAAUCUCUCAAAGGAGGAUGAUGUCCGGAAGUACGUCAACACUUACCGUCGAUCUUUCACGACAAAAUCAGGUAGGGUUUCAAGUAUUAUCAUCUCUUGUACGAUUAAUGUUGACAGUCGAUCUUUAAAGGGGUCGAGCUAUUUCAAGCUAAAAAUGCAUGCGUUGUUUACAUUGCCUAUUGCAGUGGUGUUUAUGCCUAUUAGAUACUUGAUUUUAUAUUUUUUCUCCCUGCAAUACAGGAAAGAAAGCCAGUAAAGCUCCCAAGAUCCAGAGAUUGGUAACUCCAUUAACUUUGCAGAGGAAGAGAGCAAGAAUAGCUGAGAAAAAGAAGAGAGUUGCAAAGGCAAAGGCCGAUGCUGCGGAGUACCAGAAGCUACUUGCCCAGAGAUUGAAGGAACAGAGAGAACGACGUAGCGAAAGUUUAGCCAAGAAAAGAUCCAGACUUUCUGCUGCAUCUAAACCGUCAAUUGCAGCUUAAUUUCAGCUCACUUAAAACCCAGUCAGAUUAUGAUAUCGUGUUGAAAACAAAUCAAAAGGAACAUGUUUGAUUUUAGAUUUUUCAUGUUUGAAAGGUUUAACAACUCUGUUUGGAAGUGUGCUCUGACAUUGCUGAAUUUACACUAUUCUUUGAUUCAAAAUUUGACAAUUCACUCAAGGCAGCAAUUUACACUAAUAUUUGAUUCAAAUAUUAAGAGUUCAAAUUCUUAUUAACAAGCACAUUGCACUCUUGAAGGAAAGAUUCAAGUUUGAACUUUGGAGAUACAUUGAUGGAAGGGGCAGCCACGGAAAUGAAGAAUAUUAAAAAAAUAAAAUUUCUUAUUAUUUGUUAAAAUAUCAAAAAAUAAAAUUUCUUAUUAUUUGUCAAAAUAAUUGCAUUUAACAUUUAUACUAGGACGUAUAUAUAUAUAAUUGAAAUUCAAGGAAAAUAUGAGAAUGGAACAACAAAUUUCAUAGUGGUAAAUAAAAUAGAAACAAGUUCCACAUGAUCAUCCCAACUAUUCUUCUCUAGAAUAGGUCUCCAAAGCUUUAACUUGGGGCACUUUUGUUUAAGGAACUGAUGAUCAAGUUCCACACCAAUGCAACCUACUAUAUCCAAAAACUCAAGCUGGGGACACCCAGAAAAAAUGCUUAGAACAAUUUCAGUGCUGAUAGGAUAUAAACCCAACUCGAGUAGGUGCUUUAGCCUAGGGAUUGUUGUAGCUAUUGCAUUCGCCUGAUCGUCGGUUGGGAAAGUGAUAGCCGAAUCCAGUAGGUGCUAGUUGCGGCAGAGUGACAAGAAAUUUACAGUCCUUUCCAAUGGCCUUUAUAGUAUAGGCAUCUAUUUUGCGACAGUAACUCAAUUCUAGGAAAGUGAUUGUGGAGAGCCUUUGGGCGCUUUGGUCUACUAUCCAACCACUCAUUUCACUUCGUGGCAGUCGUAAAACCUGAAGGGAGCCAGCACUUGCAGAUGCAAGGGCAAGAAAGAAAAGCAUCAUUUCACAUCAAGGUUAAUAAUUUAAUAGCGUAAAAGGGUGUCAUUAAUGAGCUGAGACUCACUACAUUACUGAGAAAAGCAAUUGUGAAAAAGGGUAAGAGCAAGUAAAACUUCUUUGUGAUGAAUGAGAAAAUGGUAUCAUUCUGAAGACCUGAAACAUGUAGGCUGCGGAGAGAUCCAUUGCUUCUUGUGAUUAGCAUUGGAAGCAUCCGAUCAAGAUGGUGGGACCGGCAGCGACGGCUCCAUUUAGCAAGGUCUAUAUCUUGACGACAAUAGGGACCUGUGAUUGCCUUUCUCCAGGAUUUGCGGACGCAGGGAAUGAUUGUUGGUAACUCUUGUAAGGACAGGUAACUGAAGAUCAGCCCCAAUACAUCAGGAAGUAGUUCAUCCCAGUGUAGAAACUCGCUUGCUCUUCUUCCAUCUUAUCUUCAUUCAAGCCAUGAAGGUCAUAAUCAAAUCACAACAAGCAGCCUCAGUCUAGAUAUUCACACCAUGCAUUUAUGUCUUCUUCAACUAAACGUUUACUGUGAGCUUAAGUCAUCAGAUGUUUUGUGUGCGUUCAAGGAACAGAGUAUUUGAAAGAUCAUCGUGGAUCAUUGCUGAAGGUGAAAAUGGAAAAGCUGAUACGUUGGACAUGAGUCAUUUGGUAUUUUGUGUUUAGAAGGAAAGGUUGAGCUUGGGUUUUUUUUAGAAGUUUGACAAAUAUAAUAUACCACAAUUACAAGUACAGGUACAAAUUAUAAAUUCAAAACAAUGGUAUCUAAAAUAAACCAAUACAAUUUAGAGGACAAUGAAUCGAACAAUGUCAGAUAAAACCUACCCAUAGCAUAUGCAUAUGGUGAGAGAGAGACUUACACAUUAUAAAUACAGAUGGUGAGACUUAAAUUUGGGCCUUCAACCUCAACCUUUGUCAAUAAUAUCAAAACCUCGUUGAUAGUUAAAUUUAUAUAUAUAUAUAUAUUUAUCUUAUAAAGCCUACAAAAUUAUCAUGGGUUUAGGGUUAUAAAAAUAUUUAUAAAACAAUGAUGUAAAAAACAGUUAAGGUGUUGGUUGAAAUGGUGAAAUGGAAGGUAAGGUAUUACAGAGGCUCUUUGUAUUAGGAGUUAGAUUGCAUUUUGUCAUUUUUACUAAAAACGGGUAAAUUAGUUUUUGUACAUUAGAUCAAAGAGUAAUAUGGUCAUUCUAUUAAAAAUUUCAUUCAUUUCUAUUGUUAAAAACUAGUCCUUAUACAUCAAAAUGAGGUAAACGUGACACUAUCUGAUUAUUUUAUCAGCUAUGCUAGUUUUUGACAGUAGAAAUGAAUGAAAUUUUCAAUGAAAAAACUAGUUUACUCUUUGAUCUAACAUAUAUAGAUUAAUUUGCCUACUUAUUGAGUAAUGGGUGCAAAAUGCAACUAGACUCCUAAUACAUGCGUUUCUGUGGUACUUUUACUUAAAAUGGAGAUAUUGAUAAUUAUAAUGUUUUAGAGGUUCAAAUCUCAUUAUGUACAUGUAUUUUUCUAGAUUCUAUAUAAAAAUACAAAACACCCUUAUAAUAAUAUUUGUUAAUUUAUUAAUAUAUUUUUCUUUGUAAUUUCUCAACUAAAUUGGAGGAACACGAUUGAUAGGUGACACUAACUUUAUCAACCACUUAAAGAAUAAUAUAUAUAUUGUUGAUACAAAGUACAACACAGAAGAACAAUGAGAAGAUUAUGGUGGCCUAAAUGAGGAGAUGAGGAGAAGGCUAUGAGGAUAGAGGAAGUUUUGUUGUAAAGAGUACUCAAGGACUGAUUAAGGGCUAAAAAGAUUUUCCUCAUUGCUUGGGAGGAUAUUUAUAGGAGAUGAUCUUUUGUCUGCUAGUGUGACGUGGCGAGUUGUUACAAUGAAGAUGGUUGUCACGGAGUAUGUGAAGUUAUUCUUUUAAAAACUAUGAGUUGGUUAUGCCCAAGUGAAUCCCAUUGGUUGUUGAAAGAAGUGUUCACACUUGAGAAUGUUUACAAUGAAAAGCAAGUUGCUAAGGUCAAAAGGAGGAAGUGUCACCCAUAUUAGCUGAUGGUACGUAGUAGGUGAUCAGACCAAGAGGUCACUCAUUUGGAGGUAGUCGGAUGAUCGAGGAGUAUGAGUCACUCUUUCUUGUCUAGGUUGAGUCUUCAAGGUAUGCCACGUGUCUAGCCUGAGUGGUAGGAUAAUUUUUUUAUCCACAAUCAUACCAAAUUAACAUAAUUCAAUUCUUGAUUCAAACACAUAUUUUGGCAACAAUUCAAAAUAUUUAAAUUUAAAUUUCUAAAAGUAUUAAAAAGUGAUUUUUGUUGUGAAGGUGUAAGUUUAUUAGAUGUGACAUGAUCAAUAGACCAUAAUAUUUAAACAUUGGGAUGAGAGAAUGUUGCACAAAAAAAGUUCAUACGUAUCUCUUAAAUGCAUUGUGUCAAACUACUUAAUCAUGAUUUAAGAAUAAAGAUCCAUUCCCAUACUUAUCACGCUAUUUAAUCACGAAUAAAGCCACAGAUUCAAUCCAUGCAAAGACGCAGUUCCUAUAUAGGUUAAAGGUUGCUCACAAUAUGAAGAUGUUGAAAGCUGAUUUACAUAUCUAAAUACUCAUCAUCAUCGGAUUCAUCAGAUUCGAAGAGAAUGACCAGAUACAGCAGCAGAAUCUCUAACUUUGGGUACUUUUCUUUAAGGAACUUAUGAUCAAGUUUCUCACUCAAGAAUUCAUCUAUUUUCAAAUGCACAAGCUGUGGACAGCAAGAGAGGAGGUUGAGAACACAUUCAGUGCUGAUACAACGAUAAGCAAACUCAAGUUGCUUUAGCCUUGGCAUUGUAGAUGCUAUUGCAUUCGCCUCAUCCUCCGCUUCGACCUUGUCUGCUGAAUCCGGAGAGUACAUGUUGCGACACAGAACUACAAGAUGUUUACAGUGCUUUCCGAUGGCCUCUAUAGCUUGGGCACCGAUUUUGUGACAGUAACUCAAAUCCAAGAAAGUGACUAUGGAAAGCCUUCGGGCAGUUUGUUUGACUAUCGAAUCACUUAUUAAACUUCUUGGCAGUCGUAAAACCUGAAGGGAGCCAACACUUGCAAACGCAGAAAACAAAAAAACAUCAUUUUAUAUCAAGUUAAUAAUUUAAUGACGUAAAAGAGUCUGAUUAAUGAGUUGAAACUCACUACAUUACUCAGAAAAGCAAUUGUGAAAAAUGGUGAUACCAAGUGGAACUUACUUCUCUGUGAUGAAUGAGAAAAUGGAAUCAUUCUGAAGACCUGAAACAUGUAGGCUGCGGAGAGAUCCAUUGCUUCUUGUGAUUAGCAUUCGAAGCAUUCGAUCGAGUUGGUGGGACAGGCGGCGACAGCUCCGUUCAUCAAGGUCUAUAUACUGCCAACAAUGGGAACCCGUGACUACCUUACUCCAGGAUUUGCAGACGCAGGGAAUGACUGUCAGUAACUCUUGUAUGGGCAAGUUGGUGAAGAUCAGCCCCAAUACAUCAGGAAGUAGUUCAUCCCAGUGUCGAAACUCGCUUUGCUCUUCUUCCAUCUGAUCUUCAUUCAAGUCAUGAAGGUCAUAAUCAAAUCACAACAGGAAAGAAAAAUAAAUCAAAGAUUAGGGUUUACCUUAUAUCACUUUCCUUGCAACUUGGAUUAUUAUGCAAAACCUAAACACAAA